Molecule: long non-coding RNA, 598 nt
Filed under: Homo sapiens (human)
Lineage: Eukaryota; Metazoa; Chordata; Mammalia; Primates; Hominidae
Description: HSALNT0347866
Source: RNAcentral
GCAAAAUGCAAAAAAACACAACUUUCUGAGAAAGUCUGAAGCUGGUCUUCUGCAGGCACACGAAGCCAUCAAAAUCAAAGUGGCCCCAGAACUUGCCAGUCAAGAUGAAAAACUUCUUCUAAUGGAAUCCAGCUUGAAAGCUACUCAAGAGCAGCUAACUGAGCAAAUAGCAGAAACAGUUCGCCAAGAACAGAACAGUAGAAAACCCCAGGCAGAGCUGAAGACAGUGACAGAAGGGAUUAUUGCUUCUGAAGAAGAAAAAAAAUGAUUACAAAAUCACCUAUUUUACCGUCUUUUACAACUUCGUUGUAGGAGGUGUGAAAGAGGAGGGAAAUUGUGUUGGAAGAGGAGAUUAGGACAUCAAGAGACACCAAGAGUAACCAUGUACAGAGAAAAACAUCAUAUGAAGACACAGCAAGAAGGUGGCCAUCUGUAAGCCAAAGAGAGGCCUCAGAAGAAACCAAAUCUGCUAACACAAUCAUGGACUUUCAGCCUCCAGGACUGUGUGAAAAUAAAUUUCUGCUGUUUAAGCCACCCCAGUGUCUGGAAUUCUAUGGCAGCCCUAGCAAAUAAAUACAACUACUAUCAGUAUUAUUUG